AAUACCUGAGAUGAAGAUACCUUCCUCAACCCUCGGUAAAAAAUCAAGAUGAUACCUCCUCACCAACCGUAGCAGCACAAGGCAUCUGUGAAACCGAGAAGGAAGAAGACAGGUAGACCACCAACCGAAGACCAACAGAAGAAAGCCAGAAAGCAACCCGCACAAGAGGCACAGGCGAGAGAUCGGCCAGAGAGCAAAACCCGUGCACAAGAGGCAUAGGCGAGAGAUCGGCCAGAGAGCAAAACCCGCGCACAAGAGGCACAGGCGAG
This 269-nucleotide long non-coding RNA is filed under the name Elaeis guineensis (African oil palm). Its description in RNAcentral is "long non-coding RNA (EGUI_LNC029108)". Lineage: Eukaryota; Viridiplantae; Streptophyta; Magnoliopsida; Arecales; Arecaceae. The record is from RNAcentral.